AUACGGAGGGUGCGAGCGUUAAUCGGAAUUACUGGGCGUAAAGCGCGCGUAGGCGGUUUGUUAAGGCGGAUGUGAAAUCCCCGGGCUCAGCCUGGGACCUGCAUCCGAUACUGGCAGGCUAGAGUCUGGUAGAGGGGGGUAGAAUUCAUGGUGUAGCGGUGAAAUGCGUAGAUAUCAGGAGGAAUACCAGUGGCGAAGGCGGCCCCCUGGACUGAGACUGACGCUGAGGUGCGAAAGCGUGGGGAGCAAACAGGAUUAGAAACCCUAGUAGUCC
Molecule: ribosomal RNA, 274 nt
Filed under: uncultured bacterium
Lineage: Bacteria
Description: partial 16S ribosomal RNA
Rfam family: Bacterial small subunit ribosomal RNA
Source: RNAcentral